GUAUAAAGUGGCGAACGGCUGAGUAACACGUGGGCAACCUGCCCUUUGCACUGGGAUAGCCUCGGGAAACCGAGGUUAAUACCGGAUACUCCAUAUUUGUCGCAUGGCGAAUAUGGGAAAGCUCCGGCGGCAAAGGAUGGGCCCGCGGCCUGUUAGCUAGUUGGUGGGGUAGUGGCCUACCAAGGCAAUGAUGGGUAGCCGGGUUGAGAGACCGACCGGCCAGAUUGGGACUGAGACACGGCCCAGACUCCUACGGGAGGCAGCAGUC
Molecule: ribosomal RNA, 268 nt
Filed under: uncultured Atopobium sp.
Lineage: Bacteria; Bacillati; Actinomycetota; Coriobacteriia; Coriobacteriales; Atopobiaceae
Description: partial 16S ribosomal RNA
Rfam family: Bacterial small subunit ribosomal RNA
Source: RNAcentral